UUCAUCGACUAUAUUUCAAAA
This 21-nucleotide non-coding RNA is filed under the name Caenorhabditis elegans. Lineage: Eukaryota; Metazoa; Nematoda; Chromadorea; Rhabditida; Rhabditidae. The record is from RNAcentral.